Molecule: ribosomal RNA, 394 nt
Filed under: uncultured soil bacterium
Lineage: Bacteria
Description: bacterial SSU rRNA
Rfam family: Bacterial small subunit ribosomal RNA
Source: RNAcentral
AGCGGCAAACGGGUGAGUAAUACGUAAGCAACCAACCUCAAAGACCGGUACAACUAGUCGAAAGACUGGCUAAUGCCGGAUGUGCUCCGCGCAUGUAAAUCCCGGCUUUGAGACGGGCUUGCGUCCUAUCAGCUUGUUGGCGGGGUAACGGCCCACCAAGGCUAUGACGGGUAGCUGGUCUGAGAGGACGACCAGCCACAAGGGAACUGAGACACGGUCCCUACUCCUACGGGAGGCAGCAGUGAGGAAUUUUCCGCAAUGGGCGAAAGCCUGACGGAGCGACGCCGUGUGUGCGAUGACGUCUUUCGGGAUGUAAAGCACUGUCAGUGGGGACGAUUGACGGUACCCACAGAGGAAGGCCCGGCUAACUACGUGCCAGCAGCCGCGGUAAUAC